Molecule: ribosomal RNA, 182 nt
Filed under: Babesia gibsoni
Lineage: Eukaryota; Apicomplexa; Aconoidasida; Piroplasmida; Babesiidae
Description: partial small subunit ribosomal RNA
Rfam family: Eukaryotic small subunit ribosomal RNA
Source: RNAcentral
AUUAGAGUGUUUCAAGCAGACUUGUGUCUUGAAUACUUCAGCAUGGAAUAAUAAAGUAGGACUUUGGUUCUAUUUUGUUGAUUUGUGAACCUUAGUAAUGGUUAGUAGGAACGGUUGGGGGCAUUCGUAUUUAACUGUCAGAGGUGAAAUUUUUAGAUUUGUUAAAGACGAACUACUGCGAA